GGGUUGUGAGGUUAAGCGACUAAGCGUACACGGUGGAUGCCCUGGCAGUCAGAGGCGAUGAAGGGCGUGCUAAUCUGCGAUAAGCGCCGGUAAGGUGAUAUGAACCGUUAUAACCGGCGAUACCCGAAUGGGGAAACCCAGUGUGAUUCGUCACACUAUCAUUAACUGAAUCCAUAGGUUAAUGAGGCGAACCGGGGGAACUGAAACAUCUAAGUACCCCGAGGAAAAGAAAUCAACCGAGAUUCCCCCAGUAGCGGCGAGCGAACGGGGAGGAGCCCAGAGCCUGAAUCAGCAUGUGUGUUAGUGGAAGCGUCUGGAAAGGCGCGCGAUACAGGGUGACAGCCCCGUACACAAAAGCGCAUGUGCUGUGAGCUCGAUGAGUAGGGCGGGACACGUGGUAUCCUGUCUGAAUAUGGGGGGACCAUCCUCCAAGGCUAAAUACUCCUGACUGACCGAUAGUGAACCAGUACCGUGAGGGAAAGGCGAAAAGAACCCCGGCGAGGGGAGUGAAAAAGAACCUGAAACCGUGUACGUACAAGCAGUGGGAGCACAGGUUUACCUGUGUGACUGCGUACCUUUUGUAUAAUGGGUCAGCGACUUAUAUUCUGUAGCAAGGUUAACCGUAUAGGGGAGCCGGAGGGAAACCGAGUCUUAAUUGGGCGUUAAGUUGCAGGGUAUAGACCCGAAACCCGGUGAUCUAGCCAUGGGCAGGUUGAAGGUUGGGUAACACUAACUGGAGGACCGAACCGACUAAUGUUGAAAAAUUAGCGGAUGAUCUGUGGCUGGGGGUGAAAGGCCAAUCAAACCGGGAGAUAGCUGGUUCUCCCCGAAAGCUAUUUAGGUAGCGCCUCGUGAAUUCAUCUCCGGGGGUAGAGCACUGUUUCGGCUAGGGGGCCAUCCCGGCUUACCAACCCGAUGCAAACUGCGAAUACCGGAGAAUGUUAUCACGGGAGACACACGGCGGGUGCUAACGUCCGUCGUGAAGAGGGAAACAACCCAGACCGCCAGCUAAGGUCCCAAAGUCAUGGUUAAGUGGGAAACGAUGUGGGAAGGCCCAGACAGCCAGGAUGUUGGCUUAGAAGCAGCCAUCAUUUAAAGAAAGCGUAAUAGCUCACUGGUCGAGUCGGCCUGCGCGGAAGAUGUAACGGGGCUAAACCAUGCACCGAAGCUGCGGCAGCGAACGUAUCACCCAAGACAACUUUACGGAGUUGACGAUUGACGGAGCGAAGCGACGUCAAAGCGUUCAUUAAAGUCGAGUUGGCUUAGGGAUACGUUCGUUGGGUAGGGGAGCGUUCUGUAAGCCUGUGAAGGUGUGUCGUGAGGCAUGCUGGAGGUAUCAGAAGUGCGAAUGCUGACAUAAGUAACGAUAAAGCGGGUGAAAAGCCCGCUCGCCGGAAGACCAAGGGUUCCUGUCCAACGUUAAUCGGGGCAGGGUGAGUCGACCCCUAAGGCGAGGCCGAAAGGCGUAGUCGAUGGGAAACGGGUUAAUAUUCCCGUACUUGGUGUUACUGCGAAGGGGGACGGAGAAGGCUAUGUUGGCCGGGCGACGGUUGUCCCGGUUUAAGCGUGUAGGUGUGUGUUCCAGGUAAAUCCGGUUCACUUUAACACUGAGGCGUGACGACGAGGCACUACGGUGCUGAAGCAACAAAUGCCCUGCUUCCAGGAAAAGCCUCUAAGCAUCAGGUAACAUCAAAUCGUACCCCAAACCGACACAGGUGGUCAGGUAGAGAAUACCAAGGCGCUUGAGAGAACUCGGGUGAAGGAACUAGGCAAAAUGGUGCCGUAACUUCGGGAGAAGGCACGCUGACACGUAGGUGAAGUGAUUUACUCAUGGAGCUGAAGUCAGUCGAAGAUACCAGCUGGCUGCAACUGUUUAUUAAAAACACAGCACUGUGCAAACACGAAAGUGGACGUAUACGGUGUGACGCCUGCCCGGUGCCGGAAGGUUAAUUGAUGGGGUCAGCGCAAGCGAAGCUCCUGAUCGAAGCCCCGGUAAACGGCGGCCGUAACUAUAACGGUCCUAAGGUAGCGAAAUUCCUUGUCGGGUAAGUUCCGACCUGCACGAAUGGCGUAAUGAUGGCCAGGCUGUCUCCACCCGAGACUCAGUGAAAUUGAACUCGCUGUGAAGAUGCAGUGUACCCGCGGCAAGACGGAAAGACCCCGUGAACCUUUACUAUAGCUUGACACUGAACAUUGAGCCUUGAUGUGUAGGAUAGGUGGGAGGCUUUGAAGUGUGGACGCCAGUCUGCAUGGAGCCGACCUUGAAAUACCACCCUUUAAUGUUUGAUGUUCUAACGUGGACCCGUAAUCCGGGUUGCGGACAGUGUCUGGUGGGUAGUUUGACUGGGGCGGUCUCCUCCUAAAGAGUAACGGAGGAGCACGAAGGUUGGCUAAUCCUGGUCGGACAUCAGGAGGUUAGUGCAAUGGCAUAAGCCAGCUUGACUGCGAGCGUGACGGCGCGAGCAGGUGCGAAAGCAGGUCAUAGUGAUCCGGUGGUUCUGAAUGGAAGGGCCAUCGCUCAACGGAUAAAAGGUACUCCGGGGAUAACAGGCUGAUACCGCCCAAGAGUUCAUAUCGACGGCGGUGUUUGGCACCUCGAUGUCGGCUCAUCACAUCCUGGGGCUGAAGUAGGUCCCAAGGGUAUGGCUGUUCGCCAUUUAAAGUGGUACGCGAGCUGGGUUUAGAACGUCGUGAGACAGUUCGGUCCCUAUCUGCCGUGGGCGCUGGAGAACUGAGGGGGCUGCUCCUAGUACGAGAGGACCGGAGUGGACGCAUCACUGGUGUUCGGGUUGUCAUGCCAAUGGCACUGCCCGGUAGCUAAAUGCGGAAGAGAUAAGUGCUGAAAGCAUCUAAGCACGAAACUUGCCCCGAGAUGAGUUCUCCCUGAGACUUAGAGUCUCCUGAAGGAACGUUGAAGACGACGACGUUGAUAGGCCGGGUGUGUAAGCGCAGCGAUGCGUUGAGCUAACCGGUACUAAUGAACCGUGAGGCUUAACCUUACAACGCCGAAG
RNAcentral lists this ribosomal RNA (3011 nucleotides) under Salmonella enterica. RNAcentral's name for it is "bacterial LSU rRNA". It matches the Rfam family "Bacterial large subunit ribosomal RNA". RNAcentral also lists the same sequence under 1 other name. The record is from RNAcentral. Lineage: Bacteria; Pseudomonadati; Pseudomonadota; Gammaproteobacteria; Enterobacterales; Enterobacteriaceae.